This 216-nucleotide ribosomal RNA is filed under the name uncultured bacterium. RNAcentral's name for it is "partial 16S ribosomal RNA". It matches the Rfam family "Bacterial small subunit ribosomal RNA", at positions 28 to 247 of the family's 1533-position model. The record is from RNAcentral.
GACGAACGCUGGCGGCGUGCUUAACACAUGCAAGUCGAGCGGUAAGGCCCUUCGGGUACGACGAGCGGCGAACGGGUGAGUAACACGUGGGUGACCUGCCUCUAGCUCUGGGAUAAGCCUGGGAAACUGGGUCUAAUACCGGAUAUGAUUCCACGGCGCAUGUUGUGGGGUGGAAAGCCUUGUGUGGCUAGAGAUGGGCCCGCGGCCUAUCAGCUU